Halichondria panicea is the source of this 622-nucleotide long non-coding RNA. RefSeq lists it as uncharacterized. The transcript is spliced from 3 exons. NCBI's taxonomy places the organism in Eukaryota, Metazoa, Porifera, Demospongiae, Suberitida, Halichondriidae. The record is from RefSeq and is a predicted model, not a curated record.
CCCACUUUGCUCUUCCCGAACAAUGGCAGUAUUGACUUCGGUGUAGCCUCACCUGAUGGAAACAGUACCUAUGCUUUUAAUGCGGUUGCUACCUACAACUGUGACACUGGGUUUUCUCUGGUUGGUGACCAAACAAGGACCUGUACUGGAGAUGGCAACAGCACUACUGGUGCUUUUGAUAGAUUACCUCCAACUUGUGAACCCAUAACAUGCCCCGCUCUGCUCUUCCCGAACAACGGCAGUAUUGACUUUGGUGGGGCUUCACCUGAUGAAAACAGCACAUAUGCGUUUAAUGCGGUUGCUAACUACAACUGUGACACUGGGUUUUCUCUGGUUGGUGAUCAAACAAGGACGUGUACUGGAGAUGGCAACAGUACUGCUGGUGCUUUUGAUAGAUCGUCUCCAACUUGUGAACCCAUAACAUGCCCUGCUCUGCUCUUCCCGAACAACGGCAGUAUUGACUUUGGUGGAGCUUCACCUGAUGAAAACAGCACAUAUGCGUUUAAUGCGGUUGCUAACUACAACUGUGACACUGGGUUUUCUCUGGUUGGUGACCAAACAAGGACAUGUACGGGAGAUGGCAACAGCACUACUGGUGCUUUUGAUAGAUUACCUCCAACUU